GGAUGAGUAUUGCUCAAUGGACGAAAGUCUGAAGCAGCAACGCCGCGUGAGGGAUGAAGGUGCUCUGCAUUGUAAACCUCUGUAGUCGGGAAAAACAAUGGGUUACUACCCAUUUGAUGGUACCGAAAAGUAAGGAUCGGCUAACUACGUGCCAGCAGCCGCGGUAAUACGUAGGAUCCAAGCGUUGUCGGAUUUACUGGGUGUAAAGGUGCGCAGGCGGACUUGUUAGUCAGAGGUGAAAUCUCACGGCUCAACCGUGAAACUGCCUUUGAUACUGCAGAUCUUGAAUUGGGAGAGAGUUGUGGAAUUCCGAGUGUAGCAGUGAAAUUGUGUAGAUAUUUCGGAAGAACACCAGUGGCGAAGGCAGCAACUUGGCCCUAUAUUGACGCUCAGGCACGAAAGCAUGGGGAGUCAAACA
RNAcentral lists this ribosomal RNA (418 nucleotides) under uncultured bacterium. RNAcentral describes it as "bacterial SSU rRNA". It matches the Rfam family "Bacterial small subunit ribosomal RNA", at positions 355 to 775 of the family's 1533-position model. The record is from RNAcentral.